AAAAGAAAAAAAAACAGUUUGCUUCGCGGAAGGGAAGCAACCGCACGACGCACGCGCUCUUCAGCCAUGGCGUGCGCCGCCCUGCAGCCGCUGCUCCACCGCAAACCUCGCCGCCGGCGACCUCCGCUACGCCUCCUCCUCCUCCUCCUACCACCCCCUACCUAUUAAAUCCGGCCACUUCGCACCCGGCGACCCUUUUCCUCGCAUCCGCGCUUGUCUCAUACUCUCAUAUUCAAUGAAAAAGCACUACUGUGCUGUUUUUUCCGUUCAAAAAAAAAAAUACUCUCAUUCCAUACCGAGAACUGACUCCUGGUAGGCUGAAGCCAGGAAGGUCUUCGAUGGCAUGUGAUGCAGGCACACGGCCGUGGCCCGUGUGCAACGCCUUUCUUUCGGCGUGUGCAAAGGUCCGCCUCGUCGGCUAGGCGGACAAGCUGUUCGACGAAAUGCUAUAGAGGAAAGGCGGUGAGGACCGCAAAGCUGUUCGAGGAAAUGCUAGAGAGGAGAGACAGUGAGCAGUUCACUGCCUUCAUGCGCAACAGUUGGGGGCGAUGGAGCUGUGGAGUGAGGGGGAUGAGUAUGUGAGGGGAGACACACCUAUGUCUUGGUGUUUUCAGGGGAUUGGACGUCGGCGAAAACUGUGUUCUUCUGAAUGACAUUUCUCUCUUGCAUGGUCAGCGGAUGGAGACCCUCUUCUUGACCGUUUAUGACAGUGGAGUGGCGAAUCUAAGAAAAAAAAAUACCUUCCAUGGAAGAGGAGAGCAUGAACAAUUGUUGCAGCAAGGGUUGCAAAACCAACACCGUAUGUGACAAGAAGGGAAGUACUGAGUCGAGGUGAAGAGGCCAUCAGAAAAUAUGGGGAAAUUUUGUGCCUUGUAGAAAUUAAACCAGUAUGCAAUUGGUGUGAUUAUGUACAUGACGAUGAAGAAGCCAACACCAACAUUUACAGUGGCAAACCAUGGGCUAGCAAGA
Long non-coding RNA from Oryza sativa Japonica Group (Japanese rice), 969 nucleotides. RefSeq lists it as uncharacterized. Lineage: Eukaryota; Viridiplantae; Streptophyta; Magnoliopsida; Poales; Poaceae. The record is from RefSeq and is a predicted model, not a curated record.